CUGUCUGUCCAAUUUUUCACAUGCACUCCCAUCUCCCAUCACUUUAACCCUUUCUUUUCCUUUAUCUUUCUCUGCCACCGCAUCAAAUCCAUUGCCUCUCGCCGAUAAAACUCUCUAAUUUCAUCAAAUUUUGGGCAUUUUUCUAAACGCUUGCUCAAAGUUAAGUGGAUUUGAGUCCUACAAGUCAUCUUCAAGGUUUGCCCAAUUUCUUACUAUUCCUGCGAUUGUCAUUUCCUUCAUCCUUGGCAAACAAAAUCCUAAUUGUGGGAAUAGGUUUUCAUUCACCGUGAAGAUUGCAGGAAGAGUGAACAGGUUGCUCACCUCGUGCCGACAGAUUGCAGAAGGGUUUUGAAUCUUUUCUGUUCUGCUAAUAUUUGAGAGAAUGGUUAUUGGUGUGGGAUUUGAUUGCGACCCAAUGAUUUUUCACAGCAGAUGAAAAAGGAAUAUGGAUUAUGGCACAGAACUUGAAGCUCAUUCCAUUAUGUAGCAGAUUAUGUCUUCUAUUGUUCAAGAAAGAAGGGUACCAGUCUCACGUAUUAAGCUGUUUGUCUGCAUAAGAAAAUAUUGAAAUUAAUUGGUCCUAUUUGGUUUUGUCAUCUUCAAGAAUUUCUUUAAGAUUCCUUGAUGAGAGAAAAUGGCAACUUCGAAUUCAAGAUAUAGUUCACAGUUGAGAGCAAGUGCUUGACUGAUGUUACUACAUACACGAUAUUUAGAGAGCACUUCAGUGGUUGAGUAAAGCUAGAGAACAAGAUUUCUAGAGUUUCUCUACAUGGAGACCAAUGUGGAAAUGCAGAUUGCAUUGAUAUUGGCAGUCAACCAAAGGAUUUGAGCAUUGCCAUUCUUUCCCCUGAUCUUGCCUUGGUGUCAAUUGAAACUGGAGAUGUCCUCCUGCGCGGUGCAAAUGUCUUGUCUACCACUAAUCUUGGAUUCGUUGUAACAGCAUGUACCAUUGCGCCUGAUGGAACAGGGGCAAUUGUGGGCAGUCAAGAUGGGAAGUUGCAUGUAUAUUCCAUCACAGGUGAUAUUCUGAGAGGCAGUACUUAAAAAAAUCGGGUGGCAAUCACUGUCAUUCGCUACUCUCCAGAUGUUUCCAUGUUUCCACGUUUGCAUUAGCAGAUGCUAAUCAAGAAGCUGUUGUCUGGGACCGUACUUCCCAUGAGUAUUACUUCCCGUGAGGUAUCGAAUAUAUAGUCAUCCCUAUUAUUGAAUGAUUUCCAGGCUCCUCCAUUGCAAAAGAUGGUUUGACGGAUGUCUUCUCCAAACUUGUUGCAAGAGUUCAAGAAAUAUUGUCUUUUCAAGUAUUGCAAUUAAUAUUUGAUAUGAAGACGAAACAUAAUUAGAUUUCUCUAUUGAAUAGCCGCACUUGUGUAUUUCUGCAAGACAAUAUUGAUGAAUGUGUUGGAAUUUAUUAUUGGUCGCGUUAUUGUUGUUCA
Olea europaea var. sylvestris is the source of this 1433-nucleotide long non-coding RNA. RefSeq lists it as uncharacterized. The record is from RefSeq and is a predicted model, not a curated record. Lineage: Eukaryota; Viridiplantae; Streptophyta; Magnoliopsida; Lamiales; Oleaceae. The transcript has 7 exons.